UCCAACACGAACCGCUCCAUUGGUCGUCCCCUCCUCCGUCUUCCAGCCGCCCCUUGCUCGCAUGACUGCACUUCACCCGUGCGGCCCUGCCUCGCCUCGGUUCUGCUCCUGUACACACCGGCUGGCACCUGUACGUGCAGCAGCAGUGGAACUGAGAAAGGGACGGGAUUAUGGGAGAGCAGCGGGAUUUACAUGAAAAGGCACAAGAUCUACGGAGAAGAUAUGAAACUUUGGAGGUUUUUCAAAAGAAAAAAGAUAAUUUUGGAGGAUAUGGACGCAUCGUAGAAGCUAUGGUGGCCGGCGGCUACGGUAGAGAAGAAUGCAUCGAUUGCAUAAAGAGAGAUGCGAGAUUGGGAGAUGGAUGCAUUAAACAGUGGAUGCCUGGAUGGGUCAUCCGAUCAUGGGCCACUGGGCCGGUUUUGCAGUUUGGUGUUUGGUCUUUAUUUUUUUUUACGGUUGAAUUUAUUCAUUAAGAACAUGUCAUAUAAUCAUAUGAAUUAAAAUAAUAUUUAUUUAAUUAGAAAAAUAUUAAUCAGGUGACUUCUCAGGU
Molecule: long non-coding RNA, 550 nt
Filed under: Brachypodium distachyon (stiff brome)
Lineage: Eukaryota; Viridiplantae; Streptophyta; Magnoliopsida; Poales; Poaceae
Description: long non-coding RNA (BDIS_LNC000651)
Source: RNAcentral